Molecule: ribosomal RNA, 790 nt
Filed under: Acinetobacter oleivorans
Lineage: Bacteria; Pseudomonadati; Pseudomonadota; Gammaproteobacteria; Moraxellales; Moraxellaceae
Description: bacterial SSU rRNA
Rfam family: Bacterial small subunit ribosomal RNA
Source: RNAcentral
GUCGAGCGGAGAGAGGUAGCUUGCUACUGAUCUUAGCGGCGGACGGGUGAGUAAUGCUUAGGAAUCUGCCUAUUAGUGGGGGACAACAUUUCGAAAGGAAUGCUAAUACCGCAUACGUCCUACGGGAGAAAGCAGGGGAUCUUCGGACCUUGCGCUAAUAGAUGAGCCUAAGUCGGAUUAGCUAGUUGGUGGGGUAAAGGCCUACCAAGGCGACGAUCUGUAGCGGGUCUGAGAGGAUGAUCCGCCACACUGGGACUGAGACACGGCCCAGACUCCUACGGGAGGCAGCAGUGGGGAAUAUUGGACAAUGGGCGCAAGCCUGAUCCAGCCAUGCCGCGUGUGUGAAGAAGGCCUUAUGGUUGUAAAGCACUUUAAGCGAGGAGGAGGCUACUUUAGAUAAUACCUAGAGAUAGUGGACGUUACUCGCAGAAUAAGCACCGGCUAACUCUGUGCCAGCAGCCGCGGUAAUACAGAGGGUGCAAGCGUUAAUCGGAUUUACUGGGCGUAAAGCGCGCGUAGGCGGCUAAUUAAGUCAAAUGUGAAAUCCCCGAGCUUAACUUGGGAAUUGCAUUCGAUACUGGUUAGCUAGAGUGUGGGAGAGGAUGGUAGAAUUCCAGGUGUAGCGGUGAAAUGCGUAGAGAUCUGGAGGAAUACCGAUGGCGAAGGCAGCCAUCUGGCCUAACACUGACGCUGAGGUGCGAAAGCAUGGGGAGCAAACAGGAUUAGAUACCCUGGGUAGUCCAUGCCGUAACGAUGUCUACUAGCCGUUGGGGCCUUUGAGGCUUUAGUG